This 428-nucleotide ribosomal RNA is filed under the name uncultured Bacillota bacterium. RNAcentral describes it as "bacterial SSU rRNA". It matches the Rfam family "Bacterial small subunit ribosomal RNA", at positions 958 to 1385 of the family's 1533-position model. The record is from RNAcentral. Lineage: Bacteria; Bacillati; Bacillota.
AACGCGAAGAACCUUACCAGGUCUUGACAUCCUUUUGCCCUCCCUAGAGAUAGGGACUUCCCUUCGGGGACAAAAGUGACAGGUGGUGCAUGGUUGUCGUCAGCUCGUGUCGUGAGAUGUUGGGUUAAGUCCCGCAACGAGCGCAACCCUUGAUCUUAGUUGCCAGCAUUUAGUUGGGCACUCUAAGGUGACUGCCGGUGACAAACCGGAGGAAGGUGGGGAUGACGUCAAAUCAUCAUGCCCCUUAUGACCUGGGCUACACACGUGCUACAAUGGAUGGUACAAAGAGCUGCGAACCCGCGAGGGUAAGCGAAUCUCAUAAAGCCAUUCUCAGUUCGGAUUGUAGGCUGCAACUCGCCUACAUGAAGCCGGAAUCGCUAGUAAUCGUGGAUCAGCAUGCCACGGUGAAUACGUUCCCGGGCCUUGUA